Actinia tenebrosa (Australian red waratah sea anemone) is the source of this 819-nucleotide long non-coding RNA. The record is from RefSeq and is a predicted model, not a curated record. NCBI's taxonomy places the organism in Eukaryota, Metazoa, Cnidaria, Anthozoa, Actiniaria, Actiniidae.
AGUCCAACCAUUUCCACCCGCGUUGUCUGAGUUUGGAAACCUUCGCCUGCCAAAUUCCAAAUCUGACCUCCUAAAGUGUCUUCAACCACAAAGUCUCAGUUGUACAGACCCUCCCCCCACCCCCCAGUUUGAUUGCAAAGUCUUGGAUGGUGCAGUUAUUGUCCACUGCCUGCCUACUUUUGAGGUUUCUACUUUUGAUGAAUACGCAGAGAAGGUAUUCCUACCGCAUCUUCUGCAGCAGCUCCGAGAAACGAGACGUGUUGACAUUGUGUGAGAUACCUACGUUCCUGACAGCUUAAAGGGUGCAACAAGGGGAAAAAGAGGUCCAGGAGUUAGAAGAAAAGUAGCAGGCCAAACAAAGCUUCCAAAGAACUGGAUGAUGUUUCUGCGUGACCCGGACAACAAAUCUGAAUUGUUUUCUUUACUGACGUCAAAGGUAGCAGAAUUCCAGUGGCCUCCUGACAAAGCAGUGUAUAUUACAUCAGGAGCAUCUGUAGUAUCCCAUGGAUCUGAAAAUGCAAUGGGUUCAGUGCAACCACGAAGAGGCCGACGCACGUAUCGUUGUCAAUGUACGCCACGCUCUCGUGGAAGGGGCAGAAUCUGUCCUUGUCAGAACGAUUGGUAAACACUUUCUUUCUUCGAAGAUAYGUUGAUCGUCCAUGUUUAUGGAAGUCACUGUCGAUUCUAUAACUGUUGAAGUGGAACUCCCUGGUGUUUUACUUUUCUUUGCUACUUCAUUUUUGACAAUUUCACGUUCAUUUUAUCAGUCAUUAAUUAGAAAAACGAUCCCAAGAACUAAUAAAAAAGGGAAAAAAUCUU